Oenanthe melanoleuca is the source of this 15588-nucleotide long non-coding RNA. RefSeq lists it as uncharacterized. The transcript has 3 exons. NCBI's taxonomy places the organism in Eukaryota, Metazoa, Chordata, Aves, Passeriformes, Muscicapidae. The record is from RefSeq and is a predicted model, not a curated record.
AUAAAAAGGAUAAUUAAGUUUCAUUGUGGAAAUAAGAGGGUAAUCUGUCCAGACAAAUCUAGGACCAAGUACUGAAAGCUGUAGUAUCUGAAUAUAAAAAAUGAGUAAUUUUGGAGAAAGAUGUCUAUCAGGACUGUAAAUUCAGAGAGUAAAAAUGUAGCUUUGCUUAAUAGACCAUCUCUCUCUCCAUCUCCCUCUAACUCAUUUUCUUAUUCUCUUUCUUCCUUUUGUGUUACUGCAAAAAAAUGUGUGCAAAAUCUGAUAUUGAGAAUGCUUUAGCUUCGUUUCAAUCUUCUAUUCUCAAAAUGUAUUCUCACUGGGAAGAUUCCCCCUGGGAGAUAACCUCAGCCAAGGUUGUGGGGUGACUGAUUUGCAGAGGAGCCACUGCACUUUGAGGUGGCUCUGAGGCAGCCAGGUCCCCACUCUUCUGAGGCUCUUAAAGAUAUUUGUGAGCUGCCAUGAGAAAUCACCUGGGACUCAGAGCAGACCACAAGUGCUUAGGACAGUGUUUUCUCUGCACCUUUUUUUUGCUGAGCAGAAUUGCAGCACUAUAAACAAAUGUGAGUUUUGCCUCAUUCUUAGGUCCUGUGAGUUAUGAAAGCCCACUCCAGAUGUAAUGAAUGUAUAGAUCAUUUUGACCAGAUCAUAAUCUAUUAGUAAAUAAUGCUCUCUGAAAAUACAUAGGUGAAAUAAAGAACUUCUUGCUACUAUUGCUGUAUUGGUAUCAAGGAUUACUGUGGAGGCCAACAUGAUCCUGAGGCUUUGUGCCACUGACAUUUAAAUACAAUGCAGAAUUAACUACAGGGUUUGGCUAGCAAAUUCCCUUCUGGAUUUGGAUAUUCAGGAUUUACACUGUUGGAAACAGAACCCAAAACUAUACAAGGCUUACCUGUGCCUUGGCUUCAGCUCACUGACCCUUCACUCAUAUUUAUAGAAUUUUUUCAUUAGAUUCCUAAUUUUGGUGGUGAUAUUAAUUAGCAAAUCACACAAUACUUUUCAGAAUGAUUAGUCUGAUAGAGCAAACCCCUAUAACACCUCUGACUUUUCUUCACUAUCCCUGGAGGAAGCCCAAGGGUACCAGACUAAGACCUAAGGCAAAUUGUCAGCACAGUCUAUAGGCCAUGGGAAGGUUAGGUUUAAAGAAGAUGUCACUUUAGGGACAUCUGUGUGACACAUGCUGCAGUGUCCAGACAUUGGAGACUAUGUUUUUGCUCUAAAUCUAGAGAGGAAGUCACUAGGAAAAAAAAGGGAAAGAAGCACAGGGGAAUAAAAGUACUUUUGAAAGAGAAGAAAUCUACAUUUCAAUGAAAAUCCUUUCAAGGCAUUUCAAAUAAGAGUCUGAGAGAAAUAAUUACAAAGUUUGGAGAGAAAGAACGUUAGCUUUGAUAUCUUUUUCUUCUAUGAAGCAAUUAAAAUAAGCAAUUUUUCAAAUACUAAGCAGAAAAUUACUAAUGGCUGAACCCAAAAGCUUUCAUUUCCUUCUUGGGGCCUUUAUUCUUCUAAAAAAAGACAAAAAAAAUGUGAAGGUGGUUUUCCAGAUAGAUUAAUGCAUAAAGCAGUCGCUAGUUGGAUGUCAUAAAAACUACAGCAGCAUAGAAUAGCUGAGAUUAAGAGCUAGAUUUAAAUCAUGCAACAGUCCAGUUAAUAUCAAUGUCUAAUUAAGAAAUGCAUAAGAAGUCUGUAAUGUUGAUUUGAUGGAGAAAAACUCUAAUAGGGUUUCUUUUGGAAUUUUCCAUUUCAAUUGCUGUGUGGACUUUUAAUGGAUGUCCUAUCCAGUCUUUGGUAUUAGCAGGAAUCAUCCUCAAAUUAAAACCAAGGCCUAAAACGGAGCACAGGUAGACAAAUUAGCUGGUCUGGGAAGCAGCCUGGGUAGAAUGACAAUGUGAGCUGAAGCCGAAAUUUUUGUACAAAUAAAAGAGAACAAACGUCUCAAAUCUGGUGUGGAAACCCUCUCUGCUUCUCCUUUGAAAGAAUCUAAAACCCUGUAAUUUGAAACAAUGCAAUGUUAACCCAUUUCCCCACCUCCCUAAGCCUGCAGAAAUCCCUGACAAUUCAUACUUAGACACCUAGACCACUAAGCAUUAUUAAUUAGUCUUUUUUUAUUUAAAAGACUUUCCAUAGUUAUGCAUAUUAGUGGUGUGUAGAGGUGGGUUCUUCUCUGCUUGUGAUGGGAUUUAGAGCACACAGGUCCCUGUCAUCAUCAAGGAGCACCAUUAAUCUCCCACUCCUCUCUGGGUAACUAAAUCUCUUCAACCCCUGGAUCAAAACUAAGCCUGUGGCAUCUUCUAUGUCCCAUGGAUCAUCCAAGAUGUUUGGUCUCUAGAUAUGAAAGGGGAACUGGUUUUGAGCACAUGACUAAUGCCCUGAAGUUGCUGGAAGAGGAGCAGUGUAACUCUUAGUAUAAACAAAUCCACUUAGCAAAGAGGGAAAAGCACAGUGCUGGGUUAAAGCAGCAGUAUAUUUGUUAUCACUGCUCUGUUGUUGCAGAGGGAAUGAUCUCAGGGAUCCAGGAAGUUGGCACACUCAGAAUAACCCCUCUGACCAAUGUGUGCUGGGGAGUAAUUUUAAAGUUCAUCAGAACACAUUAAAAUAUAAUACAUCGUCCAUGGCAAAGCAAGGCAUGUGAUUCCAUCUGUGUACAAGUCUCUUUCCAGCACAAAAUCCAUCCAGAGACCUUUCAGAAUUAUAUCAUUAAGUCUUGUCAUGUCCACAGAGAGUGGAAAAGACUGGAGGAGAAAAGCAGAGCAACAGUGAAAUUUUGGCACUUUUAUUUUUGGGUCGUUGCCUGAAAUGUCACGGUCCAAAUUCAUGCCUGACAUUGUUCCUUUGAUCCAUGAGGCACAAAUAUGUCAGAUUGAAGAGUGACACCAUGGCCCUGGGGGAUGUCCCAAGGAUCUAUCUCCUUGAAAGAGAUGGGAACAAGGAUGUUCUCAGUGAGGCAUCUCCCUUCCCAGGGGUACAGAAGGUCUAAUGUGAGGACACUCAGGCCAUCAGAGGUUCUGGGUUUUUUACCCUGCUCUUGGCUGUAAGGCUGGGAGGUGCCAUGGGUUGGGAUGAUGCUAGAGAAUUGUUCAGGUGGAGUUCUAACAGGGUGCUUUGUCUGCAGCCUUUAUUAGAUUUAUGCAAUACUUAGGGAAAAAAAAAAAACAAGAGUAUGAAACAGGCUGUCUUUUGCAAACACACACAACAGAAAAAAACCCAAACCUUAACUUGUUCAACACGCUUGAGAGCCACAAAUUUUGUUACAGUUUUGCUAAAUGAGAGGAAUAUUUCUCCCCUCCUCUCUAAAACCAUCCUUUUAGACAUUACUGCAGUCAUGACCUCACUGCAGUUCCUGGAUUCCUUCUGAAAAGAUUAAAAUGAACUAAUACACAAAUGAUCUCAUCCCAGCAUAAAGGACAUCUCACACAGGGGGGAAAAACUAAUCAGGAGAACUUCAGUGAUGCAUUUGUAGUAGCAGUAGAAAAAGAACUGUAACACCACUGUGGAAAAACAAACUAAAGGUACAAUGGCAGAGAGGCUUUUUUCCAUCCUAUGAGCCAUUUGGAUUUGUCCUACCUGAUCCUGCCUGUCACACCUGUCAUCCUUGUAGCUGUCUCUACAUCUAUCAUCUUUCCUUUUUUACCUGCCUAUAUCUACAAUUCCCCUUGUCUCUUCUGUGCCCUUCCCACCUAUUUUAAUAUUCCUGGUAACUUUGAAUUGUAUACACUACUAUUCUCAGCUACAUCCAAAAUGCAUUUUGCAGAGCACCUUGCACAAAAGUAUUCACACAUACUUCAUCUGUAGUUUAUGUUAUUCUGGGUUAAGAACAUCUUUUCUAUGUUUUCCUACAGUUCUCAGGCCAAGGGGUCAUGGAUGAUGACAGCUCACAUCGACUUUGGAGCUGUUGUAUCUUUUAAGAGAAAUCAGGAAGAUGAGUUGGGAGACAUGCUUUACUUUCUUUGGUAGGAGAAUCUAUAAAUUAACAUUUAUGUAAGUGAGACUCUCACCACAUUUUUAAUGUUGUAUCACAUUUCGAGGCUGGAAAACAGAAUAUCUUGUAACUAGGUGAUCUUUAAGGUCCUUUUCAACCCAAGCUUUUCUAUGAUUCUGUGACCUCCAGAACAAGAUGAAUAUAGUGUUAAUAAUGCAAUCUUAUCUCUUGGCCAUAGGUGCUCCUCAGCUCUGCCUUGAGGUGACACCAUUAAGCAAGAGGUGACAAACCGGUUUCCUUUCUCAGGCUGAAUGUCACGAAACUGCUCAGUUUUGGGGGGGUUGCACCCUGGCUUUUCAAGCAGAGAUGUGCUGCUGUGGCCCCUUCCCACCCUGGCAGGAGGAGCUGGAACUGCUCAUUUACAGCUGUGACAUUUCUCAGGCAGGAAGAAAGGCAGAGGCAUCAGGGUGCAGGGAGGAAUCACAGCAGCCACCUUUAGACACCUCCGGAAAAAGAAACCUCCAGAACUCAUCCAGGGGAAUUGAGCUGCCAGGGUUAGACCUGGUACAAAGGAUGGUGGUACCUUUCUAUCCACCCAACAAGAUUUGCUGCCCUUAAAUGGGCGAGCAAAUACAUCCAACCCCAAAUGCUCUGCAGCUGAUAGCCCUGCUUCAAUGGAGGGAGCUCUGAACAGGGAUGAGUGCUGCAGCAUCAGGAAAGUCCAAAAAUCCCAAGGAGCGGUGCAGGGUAUUUGUCACCAACAAGAAAACAGCAUGUGAAAAGCUUGUGAUUGCUGUCCCCAGCAGCCUCACUGGAGGCACACACUUCCCAAGGCAGAGAGGACUUGCAGAACUGGAGAUCUUCAGUGAGAUCUCUCCCCUAACCCUGCAGAUUUACCAGGUCAGCUCAGUCCAGGCCAAAGUUGCCGGGAAAGGUCCUGGGCUCUACUCCAAGUUCAGUGCUCUAUUGAUUGGAAGGGGUAUUUAUUGUAGAUCAGGAUCUUGAGCCAAGACAGCUGAAGCUGCAAGGACUAAAUUGUCUAUUCCCAACCCAGAGAUAAAACAAAUGGCCAGUUUUAGCCUAAUCAUCACUUCUGUCUGAGGAAAGAGAAACUCUUUGAGGUAAGUUCCCUUGGAUAUAAUUCUUUCUUUCUAGGUUAGAGAAGGGCUGCAGCUAAUACAUAUCCUAAGUCAUAAUGUGGAUUUGCACCUUUCCUGUUAAAUAUAGCUGGUUUAUGUCCAAAGAUUCCCUUCUCUCCCUAAUGCUCACUCAUAUUGUUACAACUUCUACAUUAGUUGCAGGUGUGAAAUGCCAACUGAUCCACACUUCUGUCAGCAGGGGAGUAAUGUGUGUCAAAGGCCUGGUUCUCAGAGAGGAGGUCACCCAGAUCUCCAUUUGCACAUCUGCUUUGCUAAACACAAAACUCUGGAGGUUUGAAAAGCUCCAAUGUGCACAGAAAAAUGAGAUGUGAUCACUGGGGGCCAUACAGAAGGAGCUGCUUGUGCCUGUCAUUUAGUAGGCAGGACACAGAAUUUUCCCUCUGUACAAAAUUCUUCCUGCAUUACAACAGGUGAUGUUUUCUUGUAAGUUCUAUAUUACUCUGCACUAAUAGGACAUUUUAAACACAUGCAUUCAAGCAUCAUUCACCACUGUGCACUGUAUUUUUCCUCUCUCAGUUGACUAUUUCUAAAUUUUUUGAGAGGAUAAUGAAACCAAUAUUUAUCCAUUUUUAUCCAAAAUUAGAAAACAGCUGUAUGCUGAUGUUACCUGGAUGUAACAUCAUGUUACAUGGAAUUUAGAUCUUGUAUCCUCACAGUAACCUAGCUGGAUUAAAGAAAAGUGAUUUCUAAAGCCCAGAGCAUACUGGGGAGAGCCAGGAGCUGAACACAUAGCUCAGAGCACGUUUCAUGAGCACCUGAAAUUCCAGCCACGAGCCUCUGCUGCUCAUUAUGGACAUCUCCUCAAGGAAGGUGUUGAAAAUAAUUUUCACAAAAAUCAGAAGAGAUUCACUUUUAAUACUGAGGAAGGAGAGCACUUGCAUUUUUAAAAAAAGUUUGGUUCUGGAAAAGACUCUCUGUUGGUAAGUUGAGGAGCUGUGCUGUAGAGUGGCUCUUUGGCACUCAUGGAAGUGUCUGUUGAAUUCAGAGGUGGCCUUUCCCCUGAAAUUUACACCAGAAAUUCAGAAAUUUCAUCUUUGAUCAGAACCUUCCUGAGUAAUAGGAAUGACAUUGGUUUCCUUGGGCUGUACAUUAUAGAUAUGAUAGACCCAUGAAAACAAAUGGAGAAAGGGAUACUGAUUUUCUUGGAAUGAAAUACAGAAAAUUUGGACUUGGAAAACAUUUGAAUAUAACAUGCUGAAAGUUUAAAGAAACAUUUUUAAAGAAACAUUUUCCAAGAGCGUGCCUGUUAGUUUUAUCUUCAUUUUUGCCAUGUAUAAUUACGAGAAACACAGACAACUCAUAAGAUUUUUUAGUUUCUGUUGAGAAUUGCCUUUUCCAAGAUAAUUCUGUACACUAUUACUUUAGCCCACUGGGUAUCAUGUAGGGAAGGUGUAAGAUUAUACACAUGAAUAUUUCUGUCUACCACUUAUGCGUGCUGAGACAAUAUCAACUUCUACUUUCUCCUGUCAUUGGUCCUUAUUCCAUAGAGGAUAUUCUUAAUUACCAGCAAGACAAUUUGGUAAUAUCAUGUAAAGUGUAACAGCAUAAUUUCUGUGAUGAUUUACACCUGCUAAGGAUGUGAAUACUGAAUUUUAAAGCAUAUUUUAAGUUCAGAAGAAAGAGUGUUUUUUUCUACAAGACACUAUUUCUAUUUUUAAUAGAAAUACUCUAAUUUAUUUAAUUUACUAGCACUGUUCUAAAUGAAAUGGAGCUUUUGAACAUGAAUACACCAUUUUACACAUUUUCACUGCCCUGAAAAAUUUAGAGCACACUUCUGUACUGGAUUAAAUCAACUUGACUCUAAAUGCCUAAACACUAUUUUUGACAACUGUGCAUGAGGGACGUGCCUGUACAGGGAUUCUAAAGAAUAAAAAACCUAAAAAUAUCUCAGUUGCAAAGAAAAUUCCCUGCAUUCCUUCUUACACUUCGUAAUAGUGGUUAUAUAUAUAUAUCUUUUUUAACCCUCACAGGUUUAUCCCUAAUUCUGUUGGAAAUAAUUGAAAUUAUUCCAUUGACUUUAACAGACUCUGUUUCCUGGAUUAAAUGUGAAAUCUGUGCAUUGGAUUUGCUGGUGAUGUCCCACUAAUGAAACAGAAACCCGUGUAAAACCUCAGGCUUUCCUGUCACUGUGCAAAAGGGGAUGAGGAAAAUGACAGGACGUGGGAAGAAGCAUCACCUGUUGCUCCAACACCAGGCUCCUGUAGAGCAGAAACUGGAGCAAAGAAGAGAAAUACGUGUUUGUCAUUGAACUGAGCUGAGAAGAAGGAAGAGGAGAAUGAUAAGAUCAUAGCCUGCAGCACUUUGUUUAUGAGAACAUCCUUCCAGUGAUAUAUGUCUGCACCAGGUGAAAGUAUUGUGUCACCCCUAACAUAUUUUAAAUGCCAGGGCUGUCAUGCAAGAAGACAAUGAUGAACAAGUUUAAACAGAAUAUGGUUUUGUAGCCAUGUACAGAGUUACCCUUUGAAGGUUUGCACUGGUAGUGCUUCUCAGCAAAAUGUUUCCAAGCUCUGUUAUAUUCCCCUACAGAACCCUUCUCACACAGAAUUUAAACUAAAUGGAGACAUUUCUAUUGCAGGCAAACUGAUGGGGUUAUACAUAAAGCAGUGCAUUUCCUCAGGCUGGGUUUUCAGGCCAUUUCUCACGUCCUCCCUGCCAUCCUAUCCAAGUUUGUCAUAACUCCAGUCAGCAUAGAGGCAAAGAAAGGUCUGAGGAGCAGGAUCUGGCUUUACUGAGAGAUUUACUCAGACUAGCCCUAGCAUGCUCCUGUGGACUGAAUUCCCAUUAGCUGCUGCAGCUCCCAGACCACAUCACCUGCUUUAAUUCCACACUAAAGAAUUCCCUUUGCGUGCUCCGAGGCUGCCUGGCCUGGUGGGACGGGGUAAGCAGGGUUAUUUGGAGGAUUCUCUUCCAAAGUGCACUCCUGGGCCAAGUGGAAGGCUAAUGCAGAAGCCUUUCCUCACCAGGCAGAUAUGCCCAGAGCUAUCAUCACAUGGCAUUUUUCUUCCCAGAUAUUUAUCUGGAGCUCAACUGCACAAACACCAUCCCCACGUUAUAACACCAUUGCACAACAGCACUCACUGACUGGCUCAGACUGACAGCUCAAAUUGAGCCUUGGGAAAGGCAACAUCCAACACAUGAUACUGAGAAUGGGCAUGACCAUAUCCACCUUGGAUUCAGGUGAAAGAGCUUUGGCUGUGUGUGUCACGUGGGAAUGAAGGCAGCCGUGACACCGCGGAGUUGCAGGGCUUUGAGGAAGACUAAGGUCAGAGCCACUCCAUGACCCAUCCAGGACAGCAUCAAUAACUUUACAAGACAGAGGAAAGGGAGCUUCUGAUUGCCUGAAAAAACCUUCAAGGAGGUAGGAUUUCUCAAGUACUUAUUAAGGUCCUGUGUGGGCUCGUGUUAACGCUUUCAGCAUCUGCCCCUCAGUUUUCCUUUCUGUAAAAUGGACAUACCUUGUUUUCCUCACAAGGUUAUUAGGAGGAUUUUCCAAUUAAGGUUCAUCAUAGAUGAAAGUGACUUGCAAACAGUAUAAUCACCUAGCUAAAAAUGGUCUCCAACUUCUUUGGGCAGAAUGUGAGUUUUUGUAGGGACUAGUCACAGUGUCCAGCUUAACAGAAGGCUAUGGGAUCACACUCUGCAUCUUUAAGACAGAGUUUACUUCUGAAUCAGUAAAUGUACUAGACAAAGCAGCCAUUAUUUAUGCAUUCCUGCAUACAUGGCAAGGUGAAAAUAAUAGAAUAAACAUCAUAUACUUCAUUAUGAUAUCGGUUUACACUUCCAGGGUACACAAAAAGAGACCAUUUCAUCAAGCUAAUUGCCUGAAAGUAAAAGAGAGAGAACUUUAGCUAUUAGUCUAUUAUGGGGCUUUUUUCUUAAUCACAAAUAGGGGCCGUGUGUCCCCAGGGGGAUGUGUAUUCUAAUUUACAAUUGAACUACAGAUCAGAGCAAUCAAUCUUGUGCAGCACUUUUACAGUGUAAUUGCUGCAACAUAACAAAUAAAAAAAAAAAAAAAAGAAAAAAAAAAAGAAAAAAAAAAAAAAGCAGCCUAAGUCGAGUUUCAGCUUGAGGUGGAGAUAUUUACCAGGCAUUGGUUCGGGGGUGGGAGGGAGGCAGAGAGAGGAGAGAGGCGCCAAAGCCAUGAAUAUGCAAUGAGGGCUCAUUAGUGCCCCAGUGUUGCCAUGACGAAUGGCAUUAUCCCCAGACUGGUGCAGCCUAAACAUGAAUUUUAUAACGACCCAUUUAUCAUGACUUGUCAUGGGUUUCUUUACUGUACUUUCUACUGACUCUCACACCUUCCACCAUUAGCACCUCAGAAUCCCUUCCUUUUGUUCUUUUAUCUGAUUCCAUCUUAGUUUUUGGUAAGGAUUCUCAGUCCAUAAGGAGAGGAGGGCUGCAAUUCUGGUGUUCAAGAGUUCAGAGCUCCCCUAGAUGAAGACCCACUGCCAAACUGUUGGUGGUCUUCAGUCCACUUACAGUGGCUGAGUGUCCCCAUUGUCACAACAUCUGCAAUCUUGUCAGUUGACUCAGCAGAAAGGUCUUGGAUUGACCGAGCAUCCAGACUAUCUUUCCACUCUGCCAGAUGUGAUGGAUGAAUCUGUUUUGUUGACCUAGGCCUGUCUCCUCCUCAGCCCACUCCAGCUAUGUGCACAGUGUAACAAUCCACCCCUCGUCUUCACAUUGGAAAAGGCACAAAAUCAGAUAAAUAAACAAAAACUGCUUUCUCCCCAGUUUCACUUAAAUGGAAAAAAAAAAAAAAAAAAAAGUCCUAGGUGUAAAACCUAACUGAUAGGGAAAGCAUUUAGUUUAUGGGAGGAAGCAAUAUUAGUCAACUCUACAGGAAAACAAAAUCACUGUGAAGCAAUUAGUGUCUGGCUUUAGCUCAUUUUUGGUCACUGCACGUUGUCUCUGUUUUACUGCUGUCCCUUUGGCCUACCAGAUCCCACAUUUAAUAUACCACUGCUUAUAAAGAAAUCCCUGUGGCUCAGAAGGCUGAAUUGCCACUGCUGGGCUAGGGCCUGCUCUCUAGAAUAUAGAGGCUUUCAUUUCCCAAGUUAUGAAUCUGACAUCUCAUGGCCAAAUCCAUGCCAGUUUAUUUCUGGGAAGUCUGUCCUCAUUAUUUACCUCAAAUAGUUUCACUGUCAGUCUGCCUUUUCUUUUUCUCCACUGUGAAGUGGCUGGAGUAUCUGAAAGUAUCAAGCCCCUCUCUGUUGGAUUUUACAUUUUUGCUAUUACAAGAAUUUGUCUUUAGGGAUAGAAAAAUCAAGCAACUUAUUUUCAGCUAUUAGUUGGAUAGGAUUCCAUGUUCUUAAACAAGUUGUGAGCUCCCAUGAUCUCUGAAAACAACUCUCCUGAAGUCUUACAUCAGGGUAGUCCUACAGUUCUUUCAUUACUCUACUGGAGUUUGAAAAUAUUAAAAGGCAUCUAAGGUCCCAGGCCAGCACUUUAUAGAGUCAAAGUCUGCUGAUGUAGCCCUCAAAACCUCCAUUUCUUCCACAAAAUCUGCACCUUGCUGUUAUUGUCUCCAAGACAGCCACGUGUUUCACCAGGAGCAGUUUGUCAAAGCCACAGUCCAUUAUCCAAAGAUUCAUCACAGGUUCCCACUCUGGUACACGUGGAAGAGAGGCUGGAUGUCAGAAAGGGAGGACAAAAGACAAAGGAAAGCUUCCUCUCAGAAAGGUGCAUUUGGGAAAUGACACACCUUGGUUGAUCAGGGCAUAGCUGAUUAGGCCAGCAAAUAAUUGCCAUUUUGCUUUUUUUUCUUUUUCAAACCCAUCUGUGUUCCUUUGGAGAAUAUAGAUAUAUAUAAAAAUAUAUGUAUGUGCAACUUUUUAAAGCCCCAGACAGAAUCUUCCACAAGUCCAUGACCUAUGAUGGAGAUCUCCAGCUCCCACUACAAUACAAUGUUCUGUUAAUUAUCAGGAGACAAAAGAAGAAUAGAAAUCACUCUUAAAGAAGCAAACCAGAAACGACGUCUAAUAUUGCAGAAAAUGUCCACUGUCUUCACAAGGGCUCAGGACAGCAAAUAUUAUCAUUAUUCCUGAGAAUAAAUGUUUUCCCUGUGACCCAGGUGAUCUGAUCACCUAUUGAGUGGAGAGCUGUCACAAACAAUGUGGUUUAAUUAAGUUAUUUUAAUUUAGCUCCUAUUAGGAGUACUAAAACUGACUGUGCUCAGUCUCUAAGAUCAGGUUGAUUCAUCUGAUCCAUUAUCUGUAGUUUAUGUGAUGGAAUAAGCAGAUUCCUGUUUGAGUUGGUUGCAGGAACCCACAGGUCCAAUCUAUGGAGGUUAUUCCAUUAUUUUUAUAUCAGUACUUGCAGCUCCCUUUGAGAAGCAGGCUCAUCUUUCUUCCACUCACCUCAUGGAGGAGGCAAACAUGGAAACAAGGAAUGUUAAGGGCCAGCCAAUGCAGGUGACACCAAGCUCUGUGUCACCUUAGCACCCAGUACCACUGGAACCACAGAAUCACAGCAGAGUUUUCUAGGUUGGGAUCAACAACCAUAUGGAGGGCAGCUGUCCAGGAAAGGAAAACCUUCACUAUUCCUCAGACAACCCACAAAUGGCAAUCAUUAAAAUAAAAUAAUUGCAAUCUUUAAAAUAUUAAGUCCUUGGUUCUAAACUGACAGGACUCUAAUGAUAGGAAACACACAAAUUUCAGGAGGAAAAUGUUAUUUUCAUUGUCAUAUGAAUCCAGCUUCCAAUAAAGUAUCAAAUUUGAGAUUGUUUCAUAGAGAAAUUAAGAAAUAUAAGCUGUAUUUUCAUGUGGAAGAAAAAUCUAUAAAGUGGAACUAAUUGUUUAUCCUGAAUUUAGGGUAAUUUUUGUGACCAGAUGCUGUAGGAUCAGAAAUAGGCUGUCAACAGACUCACUCAUGAAAAUUCUUCAUUAAAAAUAUAUAUUUGAAUGUAAUAAAAUUCUGACCAUACAGUAAAAAUCUGCGAAAUUAUAUAUGCAGUAGUUUUCUGCAUUUACAGAUAGAAUCCAUAAACUUAUGGAAAAAAAAACCCACUGAGUAAAACUUCAGGUGUGAUCACUAUUUAAUGCUUUUUAAUGUCCUUUCAACUGACAUAUAUACAAGAAAAAGAAAAAAAAACCCAUAAACCCAGACUCUAUUUCUCUGUGUAAAGUGAUGCUCUUUUAAAGACAUGAUAAAAUUCUAAUCCUGAACACAAAACUCCUUCUGACUGAAUACUGAAGUGUUUGAACACCCAGGCAGUGCCAGGGACACAUCCUUAUGUGCUAAAUAAGGGCUGACCAGCCCUUUUUUCUACUUUUAUGGAGAAAUUCAUCCCUCCCUUUUUAGUUCUGUUUCAAAUAUGACCUAAUAUUUUUUUUUCCUCUGUUCAAGGCUUGGCUUCAGUCCUCCUACUUCAGCUUUGUCUUUAAGGCUCCUCACCAUUCUCCAAGUGGAGCCAAUGGCUUGCUGCUCCCCACCUUUAAACAAACAAACACAAUGUCCUUCUUCCCCCUUCCUCCCCACUUUCUUUAAUGACAUCUUCAGUCAUUAAUGAGUUAAUAAAAAUCUCAAAGUCAUCUGGGAAUAGAUAAGGGGGAAGAAAGAAGAGUAUUGUACACAUAAUGACAGGCUCCCUGCUGGCCCUAAGAUGUCAUGGGUCAGCCAUGUCAAGAAUGUGUGUGCCCAAUCAUCUGCUGAUUUUUAUCAGCAAGGCCUGGAGCAGAAUCUGACACGGCCAGUUUGGGAGUUACAAUGAAUAAACAAUGACUUCUUGGGUUGUUGGAGGCUGUGUGAUGGAGUGAGAGGGUUUAUAUAUACUAAAACAUGAUGACAUUAGCAAUCAAUAUACCAAUUACUGGACAAGUUAUUGGACGAAGAAUGCACAUGUCCUGAGCUUUGUGCACUUUGAACAUGCUACCAGCAAAGGAGACCACAGAAAUCAUGUUAAUUAAUCCAUUUCAAGCUUGGUAUGCUAAUACCUGAUGAUGACUUGAAGUUUCUGAGAGCAUGAGGUAGAAAAAGCCUUGGUCUGAUAUAGCACAUUAAACAUUUUAAAUAUAAGACACAAGCCUGACAAAUUUAUUUUUCCUUAGGACUUGUGGAAGAAAGGAAUAAAUUUUUUCAAGUGACAACUGAGAUUCUAACAGACUUGAAUUGUUCUCUAUAAAAUUUCACCUAAACACCCUCAGCACACUACACUAAUGUAAUCACUGAGAAGUUAGAACACAUCUCUUACAGGCUGGUUAAGGAAAUAUCCCAACAACUCACACCUGCCUAGUCUUAAGUAGAGAAAGGAAGAUAAAACUCUCACACGCUUUUUUAUUUCUGUGUGACUGGAAAUGCAUUUCUGCAUCUGAUCAGUCUCUUACAUUCUUGAGUGUGCUCAAAAUAUUCAGUGUUUAUGAGUUUGUCUUCUCUUAUUCUGGAAGUGAUUGUGAAGAUAAAGUGACAGUAUUUUAAUUGAAGCCAGAAUAGAAUGGGAUUAUAUGUCACCUAAUUCCAAGUACAACGUGGAAGAAAACAAAAGUGGAGAUCAACACUGCAUGCAGACCUAAACUGGAGUUAAAUGGUGUCAGCUCUCCAUUAAGAUGGACAAGUCCAUGAUCUACUGGAAAGCUCAUGGGUUUUGCCCUGAGAUGCAUUGUUAAAAUGAUGUGGGAAAGACAGGUUUUAUGAUGGUUCUCCAUCCUUUUCUGUGUCGUCUCUGAAUGACAACUUUACUGCUAUCUGGAAACAGCAGUGCCACAGACCCUCUGACUUUUGCUCAGGUGGGAGCAAACAAGGCAGGGUGUAAAUAUAAAAUUUAACUCUGCCUGCCAGGGCAUCAACCAAUGCAGCAGAAAUUGUGCAGAAGUAGGGAGGAGAAGAGUUCAGACAUCAGAGUGGCUCUGUGUACUUGCUGUGUGUCAGGGGCUGAGUAAAAUCUGCAGACACAUCUCUUUCAGACCACCUUUGUGGUGUUACUCUAAAUUCAGCCAAAUCUGCUCCUGCUCCCCAGAGCACUAAGCCCUGCUUAGAGUUGUGUUGGCUGGUGAUGGCAGAGGAACCAGCCUCAAAGAGGAGAAAUAGCUGAUUCCAUCUGGUUUUAACUGCAGUUAAGAAGAGCUCAGCUGGAUCCUUCCAAAUGGCUCUCCCCUUCCCAUUGAGGAAGUUCUUGAAAAGUUUAAAAGUGAAUUUGUCCAGCAUGUGUGAUAUGAAUAAUGAAAUGCUUUUAAAUGUAAAUGUUUCAUAAAAUAGCAGCAUUACCAUACAUUGCAGUGAAUACAGUUUAAAAAAGCCAACUCAAUAAUCCCUCCUCUGUAAUUUACAAUUAACUUUUUGCCUCAAGGUAACAGCUACAUUCACAAAAAUAAUGGUAAUAGAUUGACCUUGUUAUGAAUGGAUAACAAGCUGGAAACAAUAUAGUUUGUCACAGAGCAUUAACUGUUACUGUUGAAAUUGUAAAUAAUGUGUAUAGAACUUACAGUGUAAAUGGCUCCCCUUAAAAAUAUUAAUUAUGUCAAUUAAACACUUGAUGCAUAAUGGAUUAUUCUCAAACCUAUUUAAGUUCAUGUCAGACUGAGUACACCAUUUUCUAAGAUCCCAUUCCCAGACUACUGGAAAAAUCUGUGGCUGUGCUUUGACUAGUCCAGGUGGACAAAGGAAUAUUGUCUUAAAUUAAAGAUAUAUGGCUGCCUCUUCUGUUUAUAUUUCUCACUGCUUUUUGUCAUCAGAAGGUGAGACUGUUUACAGACACAAGGCUCUUCUGAAGUGUUUUCAGGCUGCUUUGGAAACUGUUGAAAAGCAACCCUCACCCAGCAGUGCUGGCAGUCACUGGAGCAUGUCCAUGGGAUGCAGAGAACUCCACUGGCUUUUGUGCUGGAAUCACUGGUGAUGGGGCAGAGGACAGAUCAGCUUUACACCUGGCUGGUUCCUCUCACCUAAGUGAUCUAACUCAGCAUUCUCAAGCCAGUGAAAGCUGAGGGUGAUGCUGUUCAAAUCUCCUCCUUGUGUGUCCUUUGGAGCCCGGGCUGUGCUCACCCAGGAGAAGGAGGUUGCUAUCACAUGGCUUUAGGGAGUAUUCCAAGUUGAUAUAUAACACAUGGCUUAGACAAAAUUAGUUUUCUCCCAGUGCCUGAUGGCCACCAAUUCAUGAACAUGACACUGAAAUGUACUUUUUGUGCUUCCCAGACACAGCUCCUCAGCUGUAGCUCAAGACUGGACUUAACAGCACAAUACUUCAGUGUUCUGGCCAAUUACCACGUUGCCUUAUAAAGGAAGGAUUCCCACUAGAUUAUCCACAUAGAGAAAGUGAUACUAAAGUGACAAGCCACCAAGAGGUCAAAUAACCAGUUGCCAGAAGUUAAAAUAACUAGACUGUGGAGCAGCAGUAUCUGAGGAGCUGGCAUGUGUCCCAGGACUGGUUGUCACACAAAUGAAAGAAAAGACAGCUGGAAUCUUUUUGGAUUGACUGUUAUUUUCUGCGAAUAUAAUGUAAAUCUACCACUCUGGUUUUUCAACCAGACGCCUGAACUGGGAGUUGAGAAACUGAUUCAGUAAAAUACAAGGUCUCUUUAUAUCUCA